CACAAUCUAAGCAACUGUAUUAUAUCUGGGAUUGGAAUGGCUAGACUUGGAGACUUAAAAAUAUCACAUCAUUGUAAUCCCGACAGCUGCAUUUAAUUGCAGAUGAUGUGCCUACAUUUUAAAUAGAAAAUGAAGACAAGCAGUUACAUCACAUUUUUUGCCAGGUUCCCGCUGCACACCCCUUUUCAAGCGUGGCCUCCCUAAUGCCAACACCCAGAUUUCUGUGCCAGCCUCUGAAAAACAGGUGGAUGCCAAGAAAGGAAGGCUUUGGUAUGGAAAGGUUGCCCGACCUGUAAACCAAGCUUUGGCAUGCUAGUCUGGGUGCCGGUAGGGUUCGAGGCUGCUGGGCUGCAGGAUGGGAGUGUCUGUCACUCUUCAGGUGGCAUUUGCAACUCCAACAGGGAUUCCUUACCACUCCUGGGAAAAAGUGGCAGGCAGAACUGAAGUGAAUCAUUGAAGGGGAGUGGCCGCUGGGCUGCCUCUUAGGUUGUUCUGAUACUUUGUAACUUUCUAUUCACAUAAAUAAUAAAGGCUUUAAAUUAAGUGGGGUUUGAAGAGAGCAAUGAAUAUAAAAUGGAGGUGACACGUCAUGAAGUUCUUUAGAAGUAUGAUUUUAUUAAAAGGCAUGCCCAGCAUGGAGGUAAAAUACAUCACAAAGAGUUUCAAAGCAUCUUAAACCAUGGAGUGUGAACUGACUGUGUAGCGUCUAUACAUUUACAUUUGUUUCAGUAAUAAAAACAAGUGUUUAUUA
Molecule: long non-coding RNA, 751 nt
Organism: Neopsephotus bourkii (Bourke's parrot)
Lineage: Eukaryota; Metazoa; Chordata; Aves; Psittaciformes; Psittacidae
Exons: 2
Source: RefSeq, a predicted model, not a curated record